RNAcentral lists this transfer RNA (104 nucleotides) under Colletotrichum phormii. RNAcentral's name for it is "tRNA-Val". It matches the Rfam family "tRNA". From Rfam's summary of the family: Transfer RNA (tRNA) molecules are approximately 80 nucleotides in length. Lineage: Eukaryota; Fungi; Ascomycota; Sordariomycetes; Glomerellales; Glomerellaceae. The record is from RNAcentral.
GGUCUGGUGGUGUAGUUGGUUAUCACGUCAGUCUAACAACUCGAGAGCCUCGCUUCUCUCGUCUGCCACACUGAAGGUCUCCGGUUCAAGUCCGGGCUAGAUCA